GUUUAAAAAAAAAAAAAAAAAAUUGUGUGAUUUGUUUUAACAUUGGAUGACAUGAUUAAUUUCAAAUUUUAGUAUUUGUAUUAUCUUUGGUCUUAAGUGAUGUUACGCUAUGUUUGCUACUUUACAUGUUGAUGUCGGAGACAAAUGUGAGUUGCUUGAAGGAAUGAACAUGUCAUAAUAAGUACCAAGUGAGUUUUUGAGCCUAUUAUUUUUCUUGGAGAAUAACCCUUUUGCC
This 235-nucleotide long non-coding RNA is filed under the name Citrus sinensis (sweet orange). RNAcentral describes it as "long non-coding RNA (CSIN_LNC003074)". Lineage: Eukaryota; Viridiplantae; Streptophyta; Magnoliopsida; Sapindales; Rutaceae. The record is from RNAcentral.